RNAcentral lists this ribosomal RNA (509 nucleotides) under Aspergillus oryzae var. pseudoflavus. RNAcentral describes it as "eukaryotic LSU rRNA". The stretch from base 126 to 279 matches the Rfam family "5.8S ribosomal RNA". The record is from RNAcentral. Lineage: Eukaryota; Fungi; Ascomycota; Eurotiomycetes; Eurotiales; Aspergillaceae.
AGCAUCAGCGGGCCCGCCAUUCAUGGCCGCCGGGGGCUCUCAGCCCCGGGCCCGCGCCCGCCGGAGACACCACGAACUCUGUCUGAUCUAGUGAAGUCUGAGUUGAUUGUAUCGCAAUCAGUUAAAACUUUCAACAAUGGAUCUCUUGGUUCCGGCAUCGAUGAAGAACGCAGCGAAAUGCGAUAACUAGUGUGAAUUGCAGAAUUCCGUGAAUCAUCGAGUCUUUGAACGCACAUUGCGCCCCCUGGUAUUCCGGGGGGCAUGCCUGUCCGAGCGUCAUUGCUGCCCAUCAAGCACGGCUUGUGUGUUGGGUCGUCGUCCCCUCUCCGGGGGGGACGGGCCCCAAAGGCAGCGGCGGCACCGCGUCCGAUCCUCGAGCGUAUGGGGCUUUGUCACCCGCUCUGUAGGCCCGGCCGGCGCUUGCCGAACGCAAAUCAAUCUUUUUCCAGGUUGACCUCGGAUCAGGUAGGGAUACCCGCUGAACUUAAGCAUAUCAAUAAGCGGAGGAA